Molecule: non-coding RNA, 378 nt
Filed under: Vitis vinifera (wine grape)
Lineage: Eukaryota; Viridiplantae; Streptophyta; Magnoliopsida; Vitales; Vitaceae
Description: Eukaryotic small subunit ribosomal RNA
Rfam family: Eukaryotic small subunit ribosomal RNA
Source: Rfam by way of RNAcentral
AUUAAGCAUGCAAGUAUAAGUAUGAACUAGAUUAGAUUGUGAAACUAUAAAUGACUUAUUAAAUCAGCUAUAAUUUGUUUAAUGGUAUCUACUACUUGAAUAACCAUAGUAAUUCUAGAGUUAAUAUAUUCAACAAACCCUCAAUUUUUAAAAGGAAUGCAUCUAUUAGAUAAAAGGUUGAUACAAGUUUUUCUUAUUGCUAUGAUAAUUCAUAUAAUAACUUGAUGGAUUGCACGACCAUCAUACCAACAAUGUAUCAUUCAAAUUCUUACCCUAUCAAUUUUUAAUGGUAAUGGUGGUGAAAUGAUGAAGAAUUAUGGUUUGAUUUCAGAGAGAAGCCUGGGAAAUGACUACCACAUCCAAGGAAGACAACAUGUG